Molecule: ribosomal RNA, 515 nt
Filed under: uncultured archaeon
Lineage: Archaea
Description: bacterial SSU rRNA
Rfam family: Archaeal small subunit ribosomal RNA
Source: RNAcentral
AACCUUUACACUGCACGACAGUGCGAUAGGGGGACUCCGAGUGUGAGGGCAUAUAGCCCUCGCUUUUCUGAACCGUAAGGUGGUUCAGGAACAAGGACUGGGCAAGACCGGUGCCAGCCGCCGCGGUAAUACCGGCAGUCCGAGUGAUGGCCGAUAUUAUUGGGCCUAAAGCGUCCGUAGCCGGCCGGACAAGUCCGUUGGGAAAUCGACGCGCUCAACGCGUCGGCGUCCAGCGGAAACUGUCCGGCUUGGGGCCGGAAGACCUGAGGGGUACGUCCGGGGUAGGAGUGAAAUCCUGUAAUCCUGGACGGACCACCAAUGGGGAAACCACCUCAGGAAGACGGACCCGACGGUGAGGGACGAAAGCUAGGGUCUCGAACCGGAUUAGAUACCCGGGUAGUCCUAGCUGUAAACGAUGCUCGCUAGGUGUGCCGUAGGCUACGAGCCUGCGCUGCGCCCUAGGGAAGCCGAGAAGCGAGCCGCCUGGGAAGUACGUCCGCAAGGAUGAAACUUAA